AACGAACGCUGGCGGCAGGCUUAACACAUGCAAGUCGAACGAGAUCUUCGGAUCUAGUGGCAGACGGGUGAGGAACACGUGGGAACAUCCCUUUCAGUUCGGAAUAACGUUGGGAAACUAACGCUAAUACCGGAUACGUCCUUCGGGAGAAAGAUUUAUCGCUGAAAGAUUGGCCCGCGUCUGAUUAGCUGGUUGGUGAGGUAACGGCUCACCAAGGCUACGAUCAGUAGCUGAUCUGAGAGGAUGAUCAGCCACAUUGGGACUGAGACACGGCCCAAACUCCUACGGGAGGCAGCAGUGGGGAAUAUUGGACAAUGGGCGCAAGCCUGAUCCAGCCAUGCCGCGUGAGUGAUGACGGCCUUUGGGUUGUAAAGCUCUUUUGUCCGGGAAGAUAAUGACUGUACCGGAAGAAUAAGCCCCGGCAAACUUCGUGCCAGCCGCCGCAGUAA
Molecule: ribosomal RNA, 449 nt
Filed under: uncultured bacterium
Lineage: Bacteria
Description: partial 16S ribosomal RNA
Rfam family: Bacterial small subunit ribosomal RNA
Source: RNAcentral